This 594-nucleotide long non-coding RNA is filed under the name Setaria viridis. RNAcentral describes it as "long non-coding RNA (SVIR_LNC002730)". Lineage: Eukaryota; Viridiplantae; Streptophyta; Magnoliopsida; Poales; Poaceae. The record is from RNAcentral.
UGUCUUGUAGGUAUAAGUUUGCACCUUCGGCUUCAGGCCGAAUUGUUCUUGCAUCACCUCCGCGAUUUGCGCCGUCCAAUCUGGUUGUUGUUGGGGAAUAAUUGGCGGCGGAAUCGGCACAUGUUGAUAAAUCGGAGGUUGAAUAAAAGGAGGUUGAUGAAAAGGUGGUAUCUGAGUAUAAACCGGUGGUGUAGUAAAGGACGGUUGCUUGUAGGCACCACUCGUUUCAUCAUAUAGCAUGAGCUCUGAUGUCUUGUUGACCUCCGGAGCGAUAGGUUGGUAUGGUGGUAUGAUCGGCCGAGUGGCCGUUUGGGAGGGUGUCUGGAACGGAGGAUUUCCUUGGCUGACCGAUUGAUUCAAACCGGUCGUGUUUAAGGGUGCCCCCCAGGGUAAGGGGAUGACUGGAGGGAGUGGUGCAGUGGACGGCUGGAUGGAGCCGUAUCCCAAAGGAGUUGAUGACGUAGAAGCACCAGAUCCUCCGACAGAGGAUUGGAUCGGCUGUGAAGCCUGAUAAGCCUGAUUUGGUGGAAUCGGCUGAAAAUACGUAGGCCCCCUGUACCCUUGUGGUAUACCUCCGGCGAAGGAGUUGACAAC